RNAcentral lists this ribosomal RNA (253 nucleotides) under uncultured bacterium. RNAcentral's name for it is "partial 16S ribosomal RNA". It matches the Rfam family "Bacterial small subunit ribosomal RNA", at positions 524 to 776 of the family's 1533-position model. The record is from RNAcentral.
UACGAAGGGGGCUAGCGUUGCUCGGAAUCACUGGGCGUAAAGGGUGCGUAGGCGGGUUUUUAAGUCAGAGGUGAAAUCCUGGAGCUCAACUCCAGAACUGCCUUUGAUACUGAAAGUCUUGAGUAUGGGAGAGGUGAGUGGAACUGCGAGUGUAGAGGUGAAAUUCGUAGAUAUUCGCAAGAACACCAGUGGCGAAGGCGGCUCACUGGCCCAUUACUGACGCUGAGGCACGAAAGCGUGGGGAGCAAGCAGG